AGUGAACGCUGGCGGUAGGCCUAACACAUGCAAGUCGAACGGCAGCACAGUAAGAGCUUGCUCUUACGGGUGGCGAGUGGCGGACGGGUGAGGAAUACAUCGGAAUCUACUUUUUCGUGGGGGAUAACGUAGGGACACUUACGCUAAUACCGCAUGCGUCCUACGGGUGAAAGCAGGGGAUCUUCGGACCUUUCGCGUUUGUAUGAGCCGAUGUCGGAUUAGCUAGUUGGCGUGGUAAAGGCCCACCAAGGCGACGAUCCGUAGCUGGUCUGAGAGGAUGAUCGGCCACACUGGAACUGAGACACGGUCCAGACUCCUACGGGAGGCAGCAGUGGGGAAUAUUGGACAAUGGGCGCAAGCCUGAUCCAGCCAUACCGCGUGGGUGAAGAAGGCCUUCGGGUUGUAAAGCCCUUUUGUUGGGAAAGAAAAGCAGCAGGUUAAUACCCCGCUGUUCUGACGGUACCCAAAGAAUAAGCACCGGCUAACUUCGUG
This 492-nucleotide ribosomal RNA is filed under the name uncultured bacterium. RNAcentral describes it as "partial 16S ribosomal RNA". It matches the Rfam family "Bacterial small subunit ribosomal RNA", at positions 29 to 507 of the family's 1533-position model. The record is from RNAcentral.